GUCUCACUGACUUCAAGAAUGAACCUGUGGACCCUCACGCCCCCACCCUGCAUCCUGUAAGGAUAAGAUGCUUGGAGCAGUAGCUACCACCUUGCAGCUGGAGGAGAACGCCAGGAGAAUUUUAGAGUGCCACCUCAUACUGAGAUUCUCCUUCCUCCAACUUCUUAUUAUAGGAGGGCCAUAUGGGAGGAACUGUGGGUCAUCUCAAGGACCUGAAGGGGACCUCCAGCUGAAAGCCAGUAAGAAGUUGGGGCCUCAGUCAUACAGCUGCAAGGAAAUGAAUUUUUCCAACAACCUGGAUGAGCUUGGAAACAGAUUCUACCCCAGUCAAGUACUCAGGUUUCUACAGCAAUGUUAUCUUGAAUGGUUUGUCAACAUGUUUCACUGAGAAAACUUAAAGCAACUCUGAUCCUAGAAAAGUCGUCUGCACAGAGCAGGGCAUGGCCUGCAUUCCAAAUUUUGUUAUUCUCAAAGGUCAGUUGUUCUCAGUGGCAGACAACAGAAGCCAAGACUUGCUAAGUAAAACAGAAGACAAAUUUGCUGGAAGGACAUGUGAAAAUGGGCACAAAUUAGGAAGCAAGGUCAUACUUGCAUCACUGCUGUUAGGCUGCUACCACUGACUCCUCUGCUCCUGCACUCCCAAAAGCACCAUCAAGAAAAACCCCACACACAGUUCCUUCAUCUUUGCCUUACUUGCUGAAGAUUAGAAGUCCCAGGGAAUCCAACCUUAUUUUAUCUUUGAAAAUAUCCUGAAGUGCCAAAUAAACCAACAGUCUGAAGCGGGGGAAGACUCUAGCCCCAGCAAUACCUGCGACUACUAAUGAAAAAGACUUGACGGACUGAAACUGCCCGAGAUUUCUCACAUAAUGUCAUCAUUACGUGGAUGUGCUUCAGUGCUCUGAAAUAAUGGCACUUUAAUCUCAAGUCCACCUGCCACCAUCUGAAAAGGGGGGAAAAAAGCCAAAGAUAUAAAAUACUGAAGAAAGGAUACUGGAUGGCAUGCAGAAUCUUUGGAAGAACAACCAGAUUGCCAGGCAACACAGCUAGAAAAGUGCCCCAAAUCUCACCACAGAACAGAUUUAAUGAAAAUCGCACUUCUGCACUGCUGGGCCAUUAUUACUAUGACCACCGAGAAUGCUGCCUCUAAAGAGUGGAUGGACCUGCUCUCACUGCCCUGCUGCUUCCUGUC
Molecule: long non-coding RNA, 1189 nt
Filed under: Homo sapiens (human)
Lineage: Eukaryota; Metazoa; Chordata; Mammalia; Primates; Hominidae
Description: HSALNT0314657
Source: RNAcentral